UAUUCAUACACAUAGCUCAUAUAUUAUACAGCGCUAAGCUAAUCCGCCUGACUCAAGUCAUUUUACGUACCCCUGCUAAAACAGGAACCAGCUCACACACCCAGCAAUAAAACUGCCCCCCCCUCAGCUCUGUUGUCUCACGACCCCAGGAAACACAGACAUUCCAUCGCAAGAACACAUACACCCAGCCAUAAAACUGCCCCUCUCAGUUUUCUACCUCACGUUCCCCUGACACACAAAUAUCUUCUUGCUUAAACACACACAUCUCACCCCCCCUCUACUGGUCGGGUGCUCAGAGCAGAAGACUCUGAUGUGCACCAAUGGGGCUCCUGCUCUGGCUAGAACAGGUCCGCCUCCAACCCUUCGGGACCAUUCAGAAGACCAACACGACAAGACUCCACCUACAUAUUCCAUGUAUAAAAUCUGCUGUAACCAAUGUCCCUUUUUCACCUGACUCCUUACUGAGUUAUAUGAACUAGGUCCGUGCACGUUAAAUCUGCAGGACAAGAUAUCUUUUGACUCAAUAAACUGCCUUUUGUUACAAUUGAAAUCCACUCUGUCCAGCGUCCGUGAUUUGGUCUCAACUCUCCAGUAUUUAAACACUAACAAACUUGGUAGCAUGAGGAUGGUUAUUCCUGAAUUCGAUCUAUGAUAAGUUGGUGUGAGAGGACGAAACAAAUCAACGGCUCAAAAUCAGACGGAAGAGUGACCUGUCCACAGGAAAAAAUCAGCCAUUCAUCUUGCCUCAGGAAACCUGAUCAGAGUGCUCUACUUAAAAGGUAAGCAGAGCCUGUUAAAUCGAAAUCUGCAUAUUGUAUCUUAGCCUAAACCAAAUUUUGAUCAGAAAGUACUGAGCGUGAGUAUGAAUCGUUGCCAAAUUAUUUUUACAUAAGAACCUAAGGCAUUGAUCAAGGAGAUCUUGUUUUGCUAAAAGAAGGGAAAAUAAAAAUAAUUUUUUUAUUUUUAUUUAUUUUUUAUUAAUUGGCCUAUACUGAGUUAUUUUAAUAGGAAUGUGUGAAUUGUGAUUGACCAAUGUGUUAGAUUCCUUCUGGGACCCUAUUUGUUCUGAAAUCUGCUUAGAAAACUGUCCUAAUUAUAUAAAUAUUGGGUUGUGUAUAGAGGUGACGUUAAAUAGUGGCUGUGUUCUAACACGUAAAGGACACAAUUAUGGAUGUUGGAAAUUCAAUGUGACUUUCGUACAAAUGAAUGUAGUAUUGAGAAAACGUAUGAACUAGAGUUGACAUUCCACGAUUUUGAGACCGGGGAAAUUAAAUUGAGAGAAACGUUUGUUGAGUAACCGCCAUGCUAGGUUACGUAACUGGGCUAUUAUGUACGCGUACUGCUAGCCUAGCAACCUCGUAGUCGAAUCACCGUGCAGCUUUGAUUGACAGCCGCCGGGCUCAAACACUGAUUUUCACUUUUUCAUUCCUGUUGGUAUUGCCUAAAGUUUAAAAUUGUUCUGACAAUUGUUAUAGAAUCGCCUGAAUUUUCUGAUAUAUUGUCCCAGAAGGUGAUUGCUGGAUUAUUUUCAGAAAGUAUUUAAAUAAUUUGUUGAACAAUUUUUUAGUUUUCUAUUUUUAUUUGAUAUUUCCUAAAGCACUAGAAUUAUUCUGGCAAUUGUUAUAGAACCGCUUCAUUUUGCUAACAUAUUGUUCCAAGAGGUGAUGGCUGAAUUAUUUUCAGAAAGUAUUUAAAUAAUUCGUUGAACAACUUUUAGUUUUCCAAAUUUCUAUCUACAUUUCCUACAGAGCUAGAAUUACUCUGACAAUUGUUAUAGAACCUCAUAAAUUCACUAAUAUAUUGUUCCAAAAGGAAAUCGCUGAAUCAUUUCUAGAAAAUACCGAAAUAAAUCGCUGAACAAAUUCAAAUUACAUGCCGGAGAGGCACACACGUAACUGCCACCACAUUACUGAUAAAAUCUUUCUGUGCGAGGGUGGGGACGCAUGAGAUAAGUCUGAGCCAGCACCACAAUACAUCCCUGGAAAUGUAAAUGUAAAUGUCUCGAUCAAGGACGGGCUAAGUAUACAAAGAUAAAAAAUAAACACAUAUACACAGGACAUAGGACACAUUACAGACAGGAACUAAAUGAGACCUUUUUUCAGAUAAUCACUGCCUUAGUUAUAUCCUGCCUAACCGCGUUAAUAAUUACCUUAGCAGUUCACGUAAUUAUUUUGUGAUAAAAUGGCUGCAGCCACCACGCCCAAACUUAAAUUCAAUGACUUUUUAGAUCAGCGCAUGACUGAUAGAGCGGGAGGGAAAGGACAGUAAUAGAAAGACACCCACAUCGAAGGCAUAGUGAAGGGAAAGGUGACGGACGUGACCGACACCCAGAGGGUCACCACCACCCGGACGUCUGUCCGACAGGCUGGACUGAGAGCUAAAGGAGUGACCGCUAGAGAACACUGGGACUCUGAACGGGGUGGAGCCAGCAUGUAUCCCCUACGCCCAGCAGCUGGUCCACACUACUUAGAGUACCAACCUUGGAAAAUGACUGACCUGACCACCGGUCCACCCAGAGGGGUGUGCUACAACUGUGGAACUCCUGGCCAUUAUUCACGGUAUUGUCAACAGCCACUCUCCACUCAGCAACAGCAAUGGAGAGAAAGAGGACAUGGAGGAGCACCAGGAAGAGGGAGAGGAAGAGGAGGACCCCUCAUCUACACUACAACAAUGAUCGUCUGUUCUUACAGUCAGAGAGCAAGUCUAUUUCUUCUUACGCAAAAUUCUAGUGGAAAUGUUUAGUGUCGGCUACAAUCGGUGCCCAAAAGUCAAGGCGGGCCUUUUGUUUAAUUUCACAUGCAACAGCAGCAGGGAGGAUACAACCAACCACAGUUCCAGGGAAUAGCUGGGGACACCAUGCCCUGGCCAUGAAGAUGCCCACCACCUGCGGCAGGAGGGGGAGCCGACAUUUUCAACUACACACUGAACCAACUAUGAUGUGUGAAGUUGAGGGUGUUCCCCCAUCAGUUCCUGGUAGACACAGGAUGCACCUAUUCUGCUAUCAAGUUCCCUUAAAUGCUGUCAUCUGAUUCCAUAUCGGUGGUAGGGGUCACGGGAUCACCUGAGGCUCAAAGCCGCACUAUCCCUUUAACAUUCUCCUGGGAGAAAUCUCAGUUGAAACACCAGUUCCUGUACUGUCCAAAAUGCCCGAUAAACCUACUAGGACCUCUCAUGCAAAAUGUGGUGCACCAUAUAUCUUACUGACAGUGGAAUGGCAGUAUCCACCAACCCUCCCUCUUCAACAUCUGAUCACCCAGUAAGAAUUAUGAUGAUGCCACUCCUGCCGACGCCCACGCUGUCUGAAACCCAAGAAGUGUACUGGCUAAAAUGCCUACCCACAGGGCCUGUCACCCCUCACAUCCAGUUUAAGUUCAACCAACUGAAAGCUCAAAUCUACACUCUGCACCCAUAUAAGACUCCCCAAGCUGAGACACUGAUGACUGCCCCUACACUGAAGACUGGGACGAAGACAUGAUGCACCUGACCCCGCCUAUCAGGUGUUGUACCAUUGUGUGUGGCCCUGAGGGGGUGGCAGCACCGGUCAUCCUACGACCAAGGAACCUCCAUGCACCCCUGGCCUGGACGGCUGAAGCAUCAACAGCCAUUGCACUCCUGAAAACAGAUCUAUCAGCGGCAGCAGCUCUGACUGCACCUGACUACAAGAACAAGUUCCAUUUGGAUGUUUCUGAAAAGGAAGGAUUCACCUCAUCCGUCCUAUUCCAGAAACAAGAGGGGGAGAGAAGGGUCUUGAUGUACCACUCUUCCAAACUUGACCACAUUGAGGUAGGACAGACAACAUGUUCCAGAUAUGUUGCUGCAGUAGCAAAAGCUAUUGAAAAAACAGCUCACCUCAUGAUGUGUCAUCCAUUGGAGAUCCACACCCACCAUGGCGUUGCUGCAUAUCUAAUGAGUAAAGAAUUCACGUUCAGUGCUGAAAGAAAAACCAAGAUCCAGAACAAAUGCACUCAGUCACAUAUCACGUUUGUGAACACCGACAAAAAACAUGGCAGAUGCACUCAACGCAGAAGAAGGACUGCCCCACUCUUGUGCUGAAAGAGUGGCACAAGACCUAAAACUGAGACCAGACCUGAAGAAUGAACCACUGACUAAUCCCGACCACUGGCUGUACACUGAUGGCUGCUGCUACAAAGGAGAAGAAGGAAACAUAGCAGCCUACGCGGUGGUACAGCAACUCCCAGACGGCUCACACGUCACACUUGAAUCAGCCAUCAUCCCUCAACCAGCACCUGCCCAAUUAGCUGAAACCAUCGGAUUGACACAGGCCCUCAUCAGAGCAAAAGGAAAGACUGUGAAUAUCUAUACAGACUCAGCCUAUGCCCAUGGAGCAGUCCACACUGAUGGACCCAUAACUUUUACGAGGAGCACAUGGCCCCACACACGAAGGCAAACUAAAGACCCUUCAAAAGGUCUCACACAUCUGGUGGCACCCUCACAUGAAAGAAAUGACUGACUUAUUUUGUGACGAAUGCAACAUAUGUGGCAGCCACAACCCAAAGAAACCAUAUCAAACACCAAUGGGCUCAUACCCAGUACCUAAUGCAUGUUUUCAGGACAUUAGUAUAGAAUACACCAACAUGGGCGCCGAUAAUGUAACCAAAGGGAAACGCUAUCUCCUAGUUAUGGUAGAUAGGUUCUCCAAAUGGGUAGAAGCAAUACCAACAGCAAAGGGGGACGCUAGGUCAGUCGUUAAGUGGCUACAAACCGAACUAGGUAUGGCAUCCCAAGACAAAUCAGAUUUGACAAAUGGCUCACAAUUCAGUAACACCCACCUAAGACAGGUGGAAGAAAGAUUUGGCAUAACACACAGAUUCGGUUCUGUGUACCACCCCCCGGUCCCAAGGUCUGGUGGAAUGUGCAAAAGCUAAGAUAGCUAAAGUAUGUGCAGGUACGAAGUUGACAUGGGUUGAAGUCCUGCCUCUGGUGUUGAUGGCCAUGAGAGCCUCACCAGGAGCAGGCACCCAUUUCUCUCCUCAUGAGAUAAUGACUGGAAGAGUCAUGCCUGGUCCACCAAGGGAGGGAGGUCAUAUGCCCGCUCUUGAUGUACAACAAAUCGUAAUGUCUGAUUAUGUGAAAAAACUGACGGUUCUCUCUGCAGCACUCUCUACCCAGGUUCACAAGGUCCAGGAGGGGGAGCUUCCGGGGGACACGCCACCACUGAAGGUAAAGGUUGGUGACUGGGUGAGGGUUAAAGUCCACAAGAGAAAGUGGCUGGAACCCAGGUGGACUGGACCGUACGAAGUGAAGGAAGUUACUUCACACUCAGUCCAGGUCAAAGGUAAAUCAGGCGCACCUUGACACCACCUUACACAUUGCACUCCAGCCCCAAUUCCUUCUAGAACACUGACUGAAGUCAGAGCUGAUUUGAACAGCCUAAAUUUGAUUCCAAAUGAAGAAAUUCCUGACUCAGGUGAUGCGGCAUCAAAUUCCGCCUCCCCUGAAAAAGGAACCGCGCCCAGUUAGAGGGAUAUUUCUCUCUCCCUGGGCAAGGCUAGGAAUAUCUGAACCACUGUUUGUGAUAUUCCUACUGAUAUUUGGAGUAACCCUAGGCACUCUCACAUGGUUAAUAGAACAACAAACACAUACUAAAGCAUCAACCCCUCUCAUCCCAACCCCUAUCCCUGAUACCAUUCCUAGCACCACUCCUUUCAAUCUCACACACACCAAACGUAGCACUACACUUACAGACCCACCAUGCACACCAGACAAGGUUAGAAGCACCACCUUAUGUAUACCCACGAAUGCAACCACCACCAUUGCACUAUAGUUUUCACGUCUUAAAAGACGUGAAGAGGGGGAUUUGUUAUUGUUAGAGGAAAUUAUGGUUGAAAUGACUAAUUAUGUAUACAUUCCAAUCAGAACUGACUAGUCCAAAUGCUAUAAUGUACUGUACAUAUGAAUUUUCUCUCUUGCUCCCAUUCCCAAUUGUAUAUAAUGUAGUCAGGAGUUUGGUAACAAUGAAGGUCUUAGUUCAUUCAUUUGUACAAUCUCCAGGUGGCAGGAACAGACUCUCCAGACUCCAGACUGUCUAGAAUGCUGAUUUAUACUGACUGACCUUGACUUCAGGCGUGGAGCGAAAGUUUAUACAGUUUAUAACCUGUAGAAAAAUGUGUAUUUUUAAUUGUACCUUUAUUUUACUAGGAAAGUCAGUUAAGAACAAAUUCUUAUUUUCAAUGACGGCCUAGGAACAGUGGGUUAACUGCCUGUUCAGGGGCAGAACGACAGAUUUGUACCUUGUCAGCUCGGGGAUUCGAACUUGCAACCUUCCGGUUACUAGUCCAAUGCUCUAACCACUAGGCUAUCCUGCCGCCCCCAAUGUGUGCUAGUACUCUCUUGAAUUAAACGCUGUUACUACUACUACUACUACUAUACUCUACUUCAUGUAUACUCUACUUAAUGAACUUACAAAUCACUAAUGAAAUAGAAAGAGUGCUAAUUUGGUUUUGGCUACAAAACAUAUAGGAAUUUAAAAUUCCACUAACAGUUAUAUAAAUAUUCAUACACAUAGCUCAUAUAUUAUACAGCGCUAAGCUAAUCCGCCUGACUCAAGUCAUUUUACGUACCCCUGCUAAAACAGGAAGCAGCUCACACACCCAGCAAUAAAACUGCCCCCCCUCAGCUCUGUUGUCUCACGACCCCAGGAAACACAGACAUUCCAUCGCAAGAACACAUACACCCAGCCAUAAAACUGCCCCUCUCAGUUUUCUACCUCACGUUCCCCUGACACACAAAUAUCUUCUUGCUUAAACACACACAUCUCACCCCCUCUACUGGUCGGGUGCUCAGAGCAGAAGACUCUGAUGUGCACCAAUGGGGCUCCUGCUCUGGCUAGAACAGGUCCGCCUCCAACCCUUCGGGACCAUUCAGAAGACCAACACGACAAGACUCCACCUACAUAUUCCAUGUAUAAAAUCUGCUGUAACCAAUGUCUAAGUCCCUUUUUCACCUGACUCCUUACUGAGUUAUAUGAACUAGGUCCGUGCACGUUAAAUCUGCAGGACAAGAUAUCUUUUGACUCAAUAAACUGCCUUUUGUUACAACUGAAAUCCACUCUGUCCAGCGUCCGUGAUUUGCACUCAACUCUCCAGUAUGUGAACACUAACAGUAAUUAACGUUUUAAUCUUCAUGCUGAUACAUGGACGAGAUUGGCUCACAAUGCACACGCAGAAGGAAUGGAACAGUGUAAUCACUCAUGCACUCUCGUCCAGUACCUGCUCUUAGUGAUCUAAUAUCACAGUCUCAGCCUACCAGUUUAUGAAUCUGGAGACACUGGAGGUGUUUGGGGUGGAGAGGACAGUGGACUCAGUGGAGGACAUCCCAGCCACUUGGCAGUAAGGGCAUGCCGGGCGUGAGCCAACAGCCCAGCUCUGACCAACGGCGAAGUCAGCUCAAGUUAUUUGAUUGCUUUUGAUUAAAAAAAAAACAUUUAUCUGCCUUCCCAAUGAAAAAUAGUUUGAAAUGUCGAACAUAUAUUUACAGAAAAUAGAUUUAUGUUUCUGAAUGAUGCACCAUGCUGCUUUGUUGACAACAUGACUGAGCUGCACAAGAUUACUGUUCCAUCUGAGAAGGGCCCUCCCUCGCCGCGUUUUACCUUUCACGUCACUGACCAUAGCUGGGUGCACCGCAGCUCAGGUUAAUAGAACUCCCUCAGUGUUGGCACUGCUACUUCCUACCUGAUGGGGUGUUACAGGAGGAAUUGAAGGGGGAGCAUGCCUUGUACCUGCGGCAGCACCCGGAUUUCCGAGCCAUGAUGGCCGACUUCUUGCAGUUCCUGUUACUACGAAAACCAAGCGACGUCAUCAUGUUCGCCUGUGAAGACUUCUCCCCUGGGGGGCCUCUUCAACACCUCUUCACCUUGAGGACAUACUGUGGCUUCCUCUCAAAGGCCCUUUAGUGAGGACAAUACUAUUCUGGUUAGCAGUUGUCACUAGUAUGUACAGUGGCCCUCGAGAUCCUAGAGUAUUGUUUUUACAUUUUGUAAUACUGUUUUUACUGUCUACUGUUUUUGUUUGCAUGAGCUGUAUUGAAACAUUCCAAUCAACUCAUGCUCAUCUGACUCAAAAAGUAAACUAUUGUAUAACUUUGCUGCCCAGAUUGCCUAGGAAUGUAACAGCCUUUGAAUAAUACAAUUAUAUGUGUAUUAAUAGUCCAGACAAUCUUGCAAGGCAGACUAAAGGUCUGCUUAAUAGCUGAAACAGUUCAGCAGAGUUUGUAAAUAUAUUAUAACUGCAUUUUGUGAUGUUUUGAACUUUAGUGAGUGUGUUUUUCAGCUGUUUGGAUACAACAACAAAAAAUCCUAGAAGCAAGCCAAAGUUCAAAGCCGAAGUCCAUGUCCCUUCGUCGGUGAUUGGGUAACAGUAGGGGUUCUUCAAUCAAAAUCAAAUCAAAUUUGAUUUAUAUAGCCCUUCGUACAUCAGCUGAUAUCUCAAAGUGCUGUACAGAAACCCAGCCCAAAACCCCAAACAGCAAGCAAUGCAGGUGUAGAAGCACGGUGGCUAGGAAAAACUCCCUAGAAAGGCCAAAACCUAGAGAGGAACCAGGCUAUGUGGGGUGGCCAGUCCUCUUCUGGCUGUGCCGGGUGGAGAUUAUAACAGAACAUGGCCAAGAUGUUCAAAUGUUCAUAAAUGAUCAGCAUGGUCAAAUAAUAACAAGGCAGUACAAUUUAAACUGGAGCAUCAGUUUCAAUAAAUUCUUUGUUGUCAUUCAAUGAGA
Oncorhynchus keta (chum salmon) is the source of this 8730-nucleotide long non-coding RNA. RefSeq lists it as uncharacterized. The record is from RefSeq and is a predicted model, not a curated record. The transcript is spliced from 4 exons. NCBI's taxonomy places the organism in Eukaryota, Metazoa, Chordata, Actinopteri, Salmoniformes, Salmonidae.